This 1018-nucleotide ribosomal RNA is filed under the name uncultured bacterium. Its description in RNAcentral is "bacterial SSU rRNA". It matches the Rfam family "Bacterial small subunit ribosomal RNA", at positions 357 to 1376 of the family's 1533-position model. The record is from RNAcentral.
AGGAAUAUUGGUCAAUGGACGAGAGUCUGAACCAGCCAAGUAGCGUGCAGGAAGACGGCCCUAUGGGUUGUAAACUGCUUUUAUAAGGGAAUAAAGUUAGUCUCGUGAGACUUUUUGCAUGUACCUUAUGAAUAAGGACCGGCUAAUUCCGUGCCAGCAGCCGCGGUAAUACGGAAGGUCCGGGCGUUAUCCGGAUUUAUUGGGUUUAAAGGGAGCGUAGGCCGGAGAUUAAGCGUGUUGUGAAAUGUAGACGCUCAACGUCUGCACUGCAGCGCGAACUGGUUUCCUUGAGUACGCACAAAGUGGGCGGAAUUCGUGGUGUAGCGGUGAAAUGCUUAGAUAUCACGAAGAACUCCGAUUGCGAAGGCAGCUCACUGGAGCGCAACUGACGCUGAAGCUCGAAAGUGCGGGUAUCGAACAGGAUUAGAUACCCUGGUAGUCCGCACGGUAAACGAUGGAUGCCCGCUGUUGGUCUGAAUAGGUCAGCGGCCAAGCGAAAGCAUUAAGCAUCCCACCUGGGGAGUACGCCGGCAACGGUGAAACUCAAAGGAAUUGACGGGGGCCCGCACAAGCGGAGGAACAUGUGGUUUAAUUCGAUGAUACGCGAGGAACCUUACCCGGGCUUGAAUUGCAGAGGAAGGAUUUGGAGACAAUGACGCCCUUCGGGGCCUCUGUGAAGGUGCUGCAUGGUUGUCGUCAGCUCGUGCCGUGAGGUGUCGGCUUAAGUGCCAUAACGAGCGCAACCCCUCUCCUUAGUUGCCAUCAGGUCAUGCUGGGCACUCUGGGGACACUGCCACCGUAAGGUGUGAGGAAGGUGGGGAUGACGUCAAAUCAGCACGGCCCUUACGUCCGGGGCUACACACGUGUUACAAUGGCAGGUACAGAGAGACGGUCCCUUGCAAAAUGGAUCAAAUCCUUAAAGCCUGUCUCAGUUCGGACUGGGGUCUGCAACCCGACCCCACGAAGCUGGAUUCGCUAGUAAUCGCGCAUCAGCCAUGGCGCGGUGAAUACGUUCCCG